RNAcentral lists this ribosomal RNA (467 nucleotides) under uncultured bacterium. Its description in RNAcentral is "partial 16S ribosomal RNA". It matches the Rfam family "Bacterial small subunit ribosomal RNA", at positions 29 to 507 of the family's 1533-position model. The record is from RNAcentral.
ACGAACGCUGGCGGCGUGCUUAACGCAUGCAAGUCGAGCGGAAAGGCCCUGCUUUUGUGGGGUGCUCGAGUGGCGAACGGGUGAGUAACACGUGAGUAACCUGCCCUUGACUUUGGGAUAACUUCAGGAAACUGGGGCUAAUACCGGAUAGGAGCUCCUGCUGCAUGGUGGGGGUUGGAAAGUUUCGGCGGUUGGGGAUGGACUCGCGGCUUAUCAGCUUGUUGGUGGGGUAGUGGCUUACCAAGGCUUUGACGGGUAGCCGGCCUGAGAGGGUGACCGGCCACAUUGGGACUGAGAUACGGCCCAGACUCCUACGGGAGGCAGCAGUGGGGAAUAUUGCACAAUGGGCGGAAGCCUGAUGCAGCAACGCCGCGUGCGGGAUGACGGCCUUCGGGUUGUAAACCGCUUUCGCCUGUGACGAAGCGUGAGUGACGGUAAUGGGUAAAGAAGCACCGGCUAACUACGUG